UACCAGCACCCCGAGUGGUCUGGACGAUUAUUGGGCCUAAAGCAUCCGUAGCCGGUUCUACAAGUCUUCCGUUAAAUCCACCUGCUUAACAGAUGGGCUGCGGAGGAUACUAUAGAGCUAGGAGGCGGGAGAGGCAAGCGGUACUCAGUGGGUAGGGGUAAAAUCCGUUGAUCCAUUGAAGACCACCAGUGGCGAAGGCGGCUUGCCAGAAUGCGCUCGACGGUGAGGGAUGAAAGCUGGGGGAGCAAACCGG
RNAcentral lists this ribosomal RNA (253 nucleotides) under uncultured bacterium. RNAcentral's name for it is "partial 16S ribosomal RNA". It matches the Rfam family "Archaeal small subunit ribosomal RNA", at positions 474 to 727 of the family's 1478-position model. The record is from RNAcentral.